UGCACACAUGACUGUAAAGUUGCUUUGGGUAAAAGCGUCUGCUAAAUGGCACAUA
Salmo salar (Atlantic salmon) is the source of this 55-nucleotide non-coding RNA. The record is from Rfam. NCBI's taxonomy places the organism in Eukaryota, Metazoa, Chordata, Actinopteri, Salmoniformes, Salmonidae.